RNAcentral lists this transfer RNA (69 nucleotides) under Ictidomys tridecemlineatus (thirteen-lined ground squirrel). RNAcentral describes it as "Spermophilus tridecemlineatus (thirteen-lined ground squirrel) tRNA". It matches the Rfam family "tRNA". From Rfam's summary of the family: Transfer RNA (tRNA) molecules are approximately 80 nucleotides in length. Their secondary structure includes four short double-helical elements and three loops (D, anti-codon, and T loops). The record is from Rfam by way of RNAcentral. Lineage: Eukaryota; Metazoa; Chordata; Mammalia; Rodentia; Sciuridae.
GGGAUUGUGGCUCAGUGGUAGAGCGCUCGCCUGGCACAUGCGGGGCCCUGGGUUCGAUCCUCAGCACCA